This 214-nucleotide long non-coding RNA is filed under the name Elaeis guineensis (African oil palm). RNAcentral's name for it is "long non-coding RNA (EGUI_LNC027250)". The record is from RNAcentral. Lineage: Eukaryota; Viridiplantae; Streptophyta; Magnoliopsida; Arecales; Arecaceae.
UGAUGAGAGGGAGGAGGCUGAGGAGUUGUUUGUACCAGUUGGAGGGAUCUGUUGUGUCCAGGAAGGUUGAAGUAAUUGCUUCAGCCAUGGAGGAUCAGCUAGAGGUCCAGUCGGUGUAGAUUGGAUAAUUGAUGAUAUGCUUAUCAGAUCUACUAGUUAUGGGGUCACUAGAUCACAGCGAGAUGGAGCACAGAGGAUUGGUGUGUACAUGUGG